This 433-nucleotide ribosomal RNA is filed under the name uncultured bacterium. RNAcentral's name for it is "partial 16S ribosomal RNA". It matches the Rfam family "Bacterial small subunit ribosomal RNA", at positions 29 to 507 of the family's 1533-position model. The record is from RNAcentral.
AACGAACGCUGGCGGCAUGCCUAACACAUGCAAGUCGAACGAAGCCUUCGGGCUUAGUGGCGCACGGGUGCGUAACGCGUGGGAAUCUGCCCCUUGCUUCGGAAUAACAGUUAGAAAUGACUGCUAAUACCGGAUGAAGUCUUCGGACCAAAGAUUUAUCGGCAAGGGAUGAGCCCGCGUAGGAUUAGGUAGUUGGUGGGGUAAAGGCCUACCAAGCCGACGAUCCUUAGCUGGUCUGAGAGGAUGAUCAGCCACACUGGGACUGAGACACGGCCCAGACUCCUACAGGAGGCAGCAGUGGGGAAUAUUGGACAAUGGACGCAAGUCUGAUCCAGCAAUGCCGCGUGAGUGAUGAAGGCCUUAGGGUUGUAAAGCUCUUUUACCAGGGAUGAUAAUGACAGUACCUGGAGAAUAAGCUCCGGCUAACUCCGUG